This 1043-nucleotide long non-coding RNA is filed under the name Piliocolobus tephrosceles (Ugandan red Colobus). Its description in RNAcentral is "lncRNA (ENSPTEG00000001392.1)". Lineage: Eukaryota; Metazoa; Chordata; Mammalia; Primates; Cercopithecidae. The record is from RNAcentral.
UUAUUUACUUAAUUUAUUUUUUAUUUACUUUUUAUUAUAUUUCUCUCCCCCUUGUUUUAAAUUAAACGCAGGUUGUCCUUAUGGUUUUUAUUAUUUCAUUUUAUAAAAAGAGAAUUCGAGUCACUGUUUGUUCACCGGUUUAGCAAUGCGACUAUGCCAUUAAUAAGGGUGCCUAUAAACUGUGGCCAUUAUUGGUAUAUAUAAUUUUAUAUUAUUUACACUUGUUAUUUUUUCAACAUUUUUUUUAUUUUUUUUUCUAUUUCUUAUAAAAUUUUUUAACUACCCUCUUUUUUUUUUUUUUUUUUUUUUUAGGGUAUUAUGCGGGGUAAAUAUUGGAUAUUACUUAUUUCACCCUUUAUAUAAACCCCAUAAUUUAGGCUCAAAAUCAUAUAUAAUUUACGCACUCUUUGUUAUAUUAAUAGUAAUAUAUUUAAUUAUCUAUUUAUAUAUAUAUAUAUAUAUAUAUAUAUGUAUAGCACGUCGUGGUUAAAACAAAUUUCUUUAACUUAGUAUUUUAAUAUUUACAUGUUUUUGCACACGUAAAAAUGCUUAUUAUUAUUUAAUGUUUAAUUUUUAUACAGAUUUUAGAACUUUUAAAUUUAAAAUGUCAUUUGAUAUUAAGAAAUUUAAGACCCAGAGGUAAUAUAUAUAUNNNNNNNNNNUUUUUUUUUUAUUUAUUUAUUUAUUUACUUAAUUUAUUUUUUAUUUACUUUUUAUUAUAUUUCUCUCCCCCUUGUUUUAAAUUAAACGCAGGUUGUCCUUAUGGUUUUUAUUAUUUCAUUUUAUAAAAAGAGAAUUCGAGUCACUGUUUGUUCACCGGUUUAGCAAUGCGACUAUGCCAUUAAUAAGGGUGCCUAUAAACUGUGGCCAUUAUUGGGUAUUAUGCGGGGUAAAUAUUGGAUAUUACUUAUUUCACCCUUUAUAUAAACCCCAUAAUUUAGGCUCAAAAUCAUAUAUAAUUUACGCACUCUUUGUUAUAUUAAUAGUAAUAUAUUUAAUUAUCUAUUUAUAUAUAUAUAUAUAUAUAUAUAUAUGUAUAGCAC